Pogona vitticeps (central bearded dragon) is the source of this 2818-nucleotide long non-coding RNA. The record is from Ensembl. NCBI's taxonomy places the organism in Eukaryota, Metazoa, Chordata, Lepidosauria, Squamata, Agamidae.
AUGAACCAGGACGCAACCUGCCAUUUAUCCUCUCCUUUCCAAGCUCGUCGCGUUUUUUUUUCCUUCUCGGUCCUGCGAUGGGGACAUGCAGGACGUCAGCCUCGUCCCCGGCAGGGUCCCGAAACAGCAGGGCGCUGCUGGCGACGCCUUUUCCCUCCCGCUCCCUCCCUGCCCAGGAGCCCCGCUCCGCUCCGAGGCCAGCUCCUCCUUGCCCGGGAGCGCCGCUCUGUCCGCGGCCAGGGCUGCGCGCAGCGGGGGAGACUCGGUCCCGCCUGCUGGGAGGUGACGACAACGAGGGCUGCCCCAUGGAAAGAACCCCUGAUGCAGGGACCUCUGGCUGGUGCAGCGGGUGGCUCCGGAAAGGGGAACUCGGGAUCUCUCAAUGUCACUAGCGGUCCAUCUGCACAGCUGAUGGUGAGGGCCCCGCUCUGAAGCCCGGAGACGAGGAAGAGGAGGAGGAGGAGGACGAAGAAGAAGAGGAGGAGGAGGCGGCAAGAGAAAGUAAUGAGAAGUUGAGCGAGCCUCAACGGUCCUCUUUCUUCUUUCCUUCCUCUCGCCAGCCCAUCCCGCCAAAGGCAGCAGCAGCACCGGCGGCGGCGUCCCGCAGCAGGUGGAGGGGCUGCGAGAGGGAGCCAGGCGGGGAGCGCUCGGCCUCUCCCUCCUGGGACAGCCGCCACCGCCGCAGCAGCGCAGGUGAAGGAGCGGGAGCCGAAGAACCCCCUCCAUUUCGUCGACGAGGGAGGAGGGGACGGAGGGGCGGCGGGAAACGUCGCCGCGGGAAAGCAGAAGGGGGUCCGGCCGCCAGUGUGACUCUAGCUUCCGAGGGCGAGCCGGGGGGGGGGCGGCAGCUCCUGAAGCGAGGUAAGAAAAGGGGGAGGGCAAAAAGCGGAGCAGAGGCGCGCGCGUAUUUUGGGGGUGGGGAACCCCUAUGCCGGGGCUGCCUCUCGACCCCUGACCGAGAGGGAGGCUGCGGGUCGUGGGCAUUCGUAUUUCCGGGAGAGCCGUGCCUCUCGACCCCUGAGCGAGAGGGAGGCUGCGGGUCGUGUGCAUUCGUAGUUACGGGGAGAGCCAGCGACGAGACGGGAUGCCGCUGAAGGGGAAAGGACACGGGCGCCCAAAGGGAUGCGGGCGGGCGUGGGCGCAGGUGGGAAAGUUGGGAAGGCGCGCUCCCGCGGCCGGUGUGGACGCGGGGUGUGUGCACGGGGUGUGUCCUUGGGUCUGUAUGUCUUUAUACAGUAUACAUACGAAUGUGUGUGUGCGCGCUCUCUCUAUCCAGCCCUCCGGUUCGAGCAGGAGAGAGAGAGAGAGAGAGACGAAGUUGCGCGGUGUGGGUGUGUACUGUGUUAUGUGUGGAGGGGCUUGCUUGCGGGCCCGCGCCGUGAACUCCCGCGGGAAGAACCCUAACUGAACGGGGUGGGUCCCUGAGGAACGCGAGGAAGCUGCGGGUGGGGAAUCCAAUCCCGCCAUAGCAGGGACAAGUGUCGGGUUUUUUGGCGUUUAAAAAAAAAUAGGGUUCCUCUAGGCUGGGGAGCAGAUCUUUCUCCCUAUCCCAGGGCAGGCGGUCGCAAACGUAAAAAGCCCGCAUGGGCGCGCGUCCUCGUGGGGAACGGGUGUGAAAGAGCGCGUGCGCGUGCACCCUCUCCCCAUUCUUUAUAUAAAAUUAUAAUGAUGACUUCACUUGUCUCGGACGGGCCCCUUGUCCCACUCCAGACCCAUUUGGACGGUUCCCCUCCUCGCUCGCGUCCCUUUCCUCCUCCUCCUCUCGCCUGCUGAACGAAGUUUGGCCAGAAGGGCCGAGCCUCGGUUGCCCUAUAAAGGGCGGAGGAAGUCGCUUGAGGGACUGAAAGGAAAAAAAGCCAAGCGCGGGAGCGCCUGGGGGGAACGGAGAGCUUGAAGGGCGCAGGAUUAGGGCCUCGCGGGGGAGGGUCGUGAGGGCCUCCACCUGGGCGGCGCGGAGACUGGCAGCCCUGUGAGGGAAGCCAGCCUGGGCCUAGGCCAUAUGGGGAAGGCUGGUCUCUGAGGAGAGGAAAGAGGACGGCGGGUGGUGUGUGCUUGCUAGGUGUACCUUGGUGAAGGAGAUAAUCUUCAGAGGGAGUAAGAAGACUUGAGGAAGUUUAUGUAGUAGAGGCAGUAUAGAAUAGUAUCUGUGGGAAGCUAGGACGAACUCUUGACAAAAGGGAAUUUUGGGAAGUUAUCUUUCAAAAGGGAACCUUAGAUAAUGAUCUUAGGCCAAGGUCUACUUCUGGGGAGUCUCCCUUUUUUUCAGGGCAUAAAUUAGAAUUUCAGGCCAGUACCCAAAGGCUGAGAUUGUCUGUUCCUGUUCUUAAAUUGGAAGCUGAAGUGAGUUCUUUUCUAAGGCUUGUCUUUGAAUAAUGUUGAUUGGUUGUGCAGCCUGCAGGAAAAAAAGGCUGUCUAGGCAGCAGGACAAAAGGGUGGUGUAUGGAAGUAAAAGGAGUAGUUAGGAAGCAAGCAGGGCAGGGCAAAUGGCUGGUUUGAACCAGUGAAAAGAAAACCCAACAUUGGGGGCAGGUGCUGAAAGUACAGUACAGUAUUCCUCUGGGAAAUCAUAGGCCAGUGUCACUGUAGAGGACAUAUAUACAGAAAAGGCAUAAGUUGCUUCUUUGGGAAAUGGUGCUGAGUUCUCGACAAAGUGCUAGUGAAAGUGUAUGUCUUUGCCUGUAUCUUUUGACAAGGGACAGGCAGAAGCAGUAUUAAUGCAGGAUAGGUAAUAUCUACGUCUAUUCCACGUGAGAGGGUAGCAGGACCUUGUGACUUUUGGCAGAAUAAAAUCCCAGGUACAGUUUGACUUUGCUGAUUC